AUUUACAAUAGCCAAGACAUGGAAACAACCUAAAUGUCCAUCAACAGAGGAGUGGACCCAGAAGAUGUGGUACAUAUAUACAAUGGAAUAUUACUCAGCCAUCAAAAAGAACGAAAUACCUGCAUUUUUAGCAACAUGGAUGGACCUAGAAAUUAUCAUGCUAAGUGAAGUCAGCCAUACAAUGAGACACCAACAUCCAAUGCUUUCACUGACAUGUGGAAUCUGAAAAAAGGACAGACGGAACUUCUUUGCAGAACAGAUGCUGACUCACAGACAUUGAAAAACUUAUGGUCUCCAGUGGAGACAGUUUGGGGGUUGGGGAGAUGUGCUUGGGCUGUGGGAUGGAAAUACUAUGAAAUCAGAUUGUUAUGAUCAUUAUACAACUACAGAUGUGAUAAAUUCAUUUGAGUAAUAAAAAAUGAAAAAAAAAUAAAAUAAAACUCAAAAAUAAAUAAAUAAAUAAAUAAGAGGUACCUACAAAAAACACAUAUUUAAUUUCCGUCUGAAAUAAAUAAUAAGAUAAAUAUAACUACUAUCAUCACUUCUAUUCAAAUAUGUACUCGAGAUAGUAGCCAGGGCAAAAUAUCAUGAAAAAUAAUAAGAAUGCAAAAGGAAGAACAAAAAUGUCUUUUCCAUAUUCUAUUUUAUGCAUGCAGAAAAUCCUAAGGAAAAAAUCUAUGGAGAAACAAUUGGAAUUCAUAUCUACAUUUAAGAUGGUUUUUGGAUAUAAAGUCAACAAACAAAAUCAACUGUAUUUCUAUGUACCAACCACAAACACUUAUAAAGUGAAGUUAAGAAAAUUAUUAUUAUUUACAACAGCAUCAAAAACUGUGGAAUACCUAAUAAUACAUCUUUCAAAACUUACACAAAAACACAGAAAAAUAUAAAAUAUUUUUGAGAGAUUGAAAAAACCUUAAUAUGAGGAAGAGCAUAUUAUAUUCAUGAGUAAAAAAGUUAAUUUUCUUCUAAUUAAUCCAUAGAUAUAAUAACCAGUGAAAUUCCAGAAGUUUUAUUCUAUAGAAAUUGAUGAGAUUCUAAAAUGUAUAUGGACAAACAGUCAAGAAUAGCCAAGACAAGUCUUAAGCAGAACGAAGUCUUAACACUUACACUAUAAGAUUUUUAGAACUGUUAUUAAGCUACAGUAAUUAAGACAAUGUGGCUAUAUGGGUGGAAAUAUAAAUAGACCACUGACAUAGACUAAGGAGUCCAGAAAUAGGUAAAAAGAUAAAAGUCCAGGAAAAAGACUAUCUAUUCAAUAAACCAUGCUGGUUCAUUUGGGAAAACAGUAAAAUUUAACCUUUUCUCACACCAUAUCCCUUUGGGAAAACAGUAAAUUUUAACUCUCACAACAUAAACAAAAACAAAUUCCAGGUGGAUUAUAUCAUGGUUAUGAUUAAUCAUUAUUAAAUUAUAUUUUUAUAUAAAAGGUAAAGCAUAAGUCUCUUAGAAAAAUUACACCUAGAACAUAUUUAAGGCUUUAAUGUAUAUGAAUAUUCCUUAAACAAGUUGCUGAAUUCUCUUAACUUUUGCUUAUCUGUGAAGCUUUUGAUUUCUCCUUCAAAUCUGAAUGAGAGAGCCUUGCUGGGUAAAAUAAUCUUGGUUGAAGGUUUUUUCCUUUCAUCAUGUUAAGUAUAUUCAUGCCACUCCCUUUUGGCCUGCAGAGUUUCUGCUGAAAAAUUUGCUGAUAACCUUAUCGGGGUUCCCUUGUAUGUUAUUUGUUGCUUUUCCCUAGCUGCUUUCAAUAUUUUCUCUUUGUCUUUAAUUUUGGUCAGUUUGAUUAAUAUGUGUCUUGGGGUGUUCCUCCUUGGGUUUAUUUUAUAUGGCACUCAUUGUGCCUCCUGGAUUUGAGUGAGUGGUUCCUCUCCUGUGUUAGGGAAGUUUUUGGCUAUUAUCUCUUCAAAUAUUUUUUCUGUCCCUUUAAUACGGAUGUUGUUGUGUUUAAUGUUGUCCCAGCAUUCUCUGAGACUCUCUUCAUUUGUUUUCAAUCUUUUUUCUCUUUUCUGUUACACAUCUGUGAUUUCCACUAGUCUGUGCUCUACCUCGCUUCUUUGUUCUUCUGCCUCUGUAUUCUGCUGUUGGUUGCUUCUAAUGAAGUUUUUAGUUCAGUUAUUGUAUUUUGCAUCUCUGCUUGCUUAAGUUUUAAAUCGUGUAUUUCUUUGCUCAAUGUUUCCUAUAAAUUAUCCAUCUUUGCCUCCAGUUUAUUUCCAAUGUCUUGCAUCAUCUUCAGCAUCAUUAGUCUAAAGUCUUUUUCCUGGAGGCUGAUAAUCUCCAGAUCACUUAGCUGUUUUCCUGGGGUUUUUCCUUUCUCCCUUAUCUGAGUUAUAGUUCUUUGCAUUUUCAUUUUUAUAGGUAUUUGGUGUGGUGUCUUUUUGCAGACAGUAGAGUUGUAGCCUCUCUUACUUCUUGCAUUUGUCCCCUUUGUGGCUGAAGUUGUUACGGGGGCUUGCUGUAGGCUUCCUAAUGGGAAGGACUGGUGACUGCCCACUGGUAGGUGGGGCUGAUUGGUAUCCCUCUGGUGGGUGGGACUUUGUCUCUGGGUGAGAUUAGAGGCAGUUGUGCACCUGGGGAGGGGUCUUUAGGUAGCCUGUUUACUGACUGGGUGGGGCUGUGAUACCACCUGGAUUAUUGUUUGGCCUGGGGUUUCUCAGUGCUGAUGGGUGGGGCCAUAUUUUCCCAAAAUGGCCACCCCCAGGGGAACACAUGCUGAUGAAUAUUCCCAUGAGCUUUGCCUCCAGUGUUCUUCCCCCACAAUGAGCCACAGUUCAUUUUCCCAGGAGAUCCUCCAAGAACAGCAGUCAGGUCCAACCCAGAUUACCAUGGAACCUGCUUUUCCCUGGGACCCAGUGUACAUGAAAGUCGGUGUACCUUUCAAGAAUGGGGUCUCUAUUUCCCCCAGUGCCAUGGAGCUCCUACACACAAUCCCCAUUGGCCCUCAAUGCCAGAUGCUUCAGGGGCUCUUUCUCUCAAUGCCAGAUCCCCAGGCAUGGGGACUUGACAUGGGCUCAGAACUCUCAGUCCUGUAGGUGAGUCUCUGUGAUAAAGUUAAUUUCCAGUCUGUGGGUUUCCUACCAGGGAGGUAUGAGGUUACUUAUAUUGCGUAAUUACCCCUCCCACCUCUUGAUGUGGUCUCCUCUUUGUCUUCUGGAGAAGGAUAUUUUUUUGAAAGUUUCCAGUCCAUUUAGUUGAAGAUUGUUCAGCAUUUGGUUGUAACUUUGCUUUUUUAUGACAGAAGUUGAGCUCCAGUCCUUCUAUUCUGCAAUCCUGCAGCAGCCUACUGUGCUCUUCAUCUAGUGCCGGCAUGACCAAAACAGGAAACAUUGCCUUAAGAACUUCUUCAGACGAAAAAGUGUUCAGAGCACUCAGACUAGGAGGUCCCACUGAGGACUUGAUCCAGGUUGAGUCAGGGGCCUGUUUCUGAAACAAGUGCAGUGCAUGUGGUGUGAAUAGUGCAGUGUCAGCCCUUUUCAACCUGUGUGAAAAGCCUUCCUUCACAAGGGACAAGUGGUCCUGUUAGCUGAAGAGGGUAGGGGCACUGGGAAGAGAAAACCAACAGAUAUGCAGUAGCUGGCCAAAUUCAUUAUGGUUAUAACCAAACAUGUCAGAGGAAGUAGAAACCAGUUUUAUAAACAUUUGACUACUAGUGGGAGGCAGAGACAAAGAAACACUGGCUACAAGGGGCCAGAACCUAGAUAAGAAAGGAGGCUUGGUUGGUAUCUCCAGAACCCAAAGUCAGAAGCAUUGACCAAAAGGGGUCAGAACCAUGGCAGAAGUGUGUGCGAUGGGUAUGGAAACAAAAUGCAAUUGACACUGAUCAUCGACCAAUAUCCCUGGAGGCAUAGGCUCCUCAGUACACUUCCUCCUCUAGCUGAAAUAGAGUAUGGGUGGAAUUAAAGUCACAGACUAAGCAAUUAGGGAUACAUUCUUAGAAUGGAGGAAUAGUCACAAGCCUCCUGAUAACAUGGAUUUUCCCUUUUAAAAUUCCUCACUCACUGCCAGGGAAUUAGAUGGACCUAUCAGAUAAGUCCUAUCAGCAAAUAUGCUACUGCUCCAAAUAAAUGUCAGUGUUCUUUUUUUUGCUUUUUUUUCCCAAGUUGGUGUUUGUCAUAGAGGAAUUUGUUCUGUAAAAAUCCAUAUACCCCCACUUAGUUAAGAAAUCUAUAUUCCUUUUUCCUUUUCUAAUCAGGGCAUAGUUGAUUUACAGUGUGGUGCCAAUUUCUGUUGUAUAGCACAGUGG
Molecule: long non-coding RNA, 4234 nt
Filed under: Sus scrofa (pig)
Lineage: Eukaryota; Metazoa; Chordata; Mammalia; Artiodactyla; Suidae
Description: lncRNA (ENSSSCG00030004671.1)
Source: RNAcentral